CCAGAACUCAUGCUUUUAUAUUCAGAGCCAAGAACAGAAUCUGGAACAUGAAAGUCAGAUCAAGGCAGUCCAAGCCCUCCGUUAACAGAUGAGAAAAAACAGUUAUGGAGGUGGUGUCAGCAUCAUGGCAGAGUGAACAGGCCUGGGACUCUCUCCCUUCCAACAUACAACAAAAAGGAGCAACCAUAUUCCAAAAGAAAAUAUCCUAACAACACAAAACCAGAGAGACACUCAGCCACACGAUGGAGGCUGGAGAGGCUGGAAACCCCUCAGAGCAGCUGGAACAUGGUAAGAGAGAACUUUGCUUCCUCCUCAAAAGAGUGAGGUUGCUGCCACUGGAAGCUCCAUGAGGGAAGGAGUAGGGGAGGGGUCACACAUCUGUGGACACCCAUCACCCAGGACAGCCUAGGGCCCUUGCAGCCUAAUAGGAAGCCCUUUAAGGCAGCAAAAGCUUUCACAUGGAGUGACCUCAUCAAGCCAAGACCCCAGGAGACCAGAUAGCGAGAGCUGAUCAAAAAGUCCUGGACUGCACACUGGAGAAAGCACCCAUCCCCUGAC
RNAcentral lists this long non-coding RNA (558 nucleotides) under Equus caballus (horse). RNAcentral's name for it is "lncRNA (ENSECAG00000057474.1)". Lineage: Eukaryota; Metazoa; Chordata; Mammalia; Perissodactyla; Equidae. The record is from RNAcentral.